GAGUUUGAUCCUGGCUCAGGAUGAACGCUGGCGGCGUGCCUAAUACAUGCAAGUCGAGCGAACAGAUAAGGAGCUUGCUCCUUUGACGUUAGCGGCGGACGGGUGAGUAACACGUGGGUAACCUACCUAUAAGACUGGAAUAACUCCGGGAAACCGGGGCUAAUGCCGGAUAAUAUUUAGAACCGCAUGGUUCUAAAGUGAAAGAUGGUUUUACUAUCACUUAUAGAUGGACCCGCGCCGUAUUAGCUAGUUGGUGGGGUAAUGGCUUACCAAGGCAACGAUACGUAGCCGACCUGAGAGGGUGAUCGGCCACACUGGAACUGAGACACGGUCCAGACUCCUACGGGAGGCAGCAGUAGGGAAUCUUCCGCAAUGGGCGAAAGCCUGACGGAGCAACGCCGCGUGAGUGAUGAAGGUCUUCGGAUCGUAAAACUCUGUUAUUAGGGAAGAACAAAUGUGUAAGUAACUGUGCACGUCUUGACGGUACCUAAUCAGAAAGCCACGGCUAACUACGUGCCAGCAGCCGCGGUAA
This 532-nucleotide ribosomal RNA is filed under the name uncultured bacterium. RNAcentral describes it as "bacterial SSU rRNA". It matches the Rfam family "Bacterial small subunit ribosomal RNA", at positions 9 to 523 of the family's 1533-position model. The record is from RNAcentral.